RNAcentral lists this ribosomal RNA (361 nucleotides) under Lactococcus garvieae. RNAcentral describes it as "bacterial SSU rRNA". It matches the Rfam family "Bacterial small subunit ribosomal RNA", at positions 66 to 418 of the family's 1533-position model. Lineage: Bacteria; Bacillati; Bacillota; Bacilli; Lactobacillales; Streptococcaceae. The record is from RNAcentral.
AUGAUUAAAGAUAGCUUGCUAUUUUUAUGAAGAGCGGCGAACGGGUGAGUAACGCGUGGGAAAUCUGCCGAGUAGCGGGGGACAACGUUUGGAAACGAACGCUAAUACCGCAUAACAAUGAGAAUCGCAUGAUUCUUAUUUAAAAGAAGCAAUUGCUUCACUACUUGAUGAUCCCGCGUUGUAUUAGCUAGUUGGUAGUGUAAAGGACUACCAAGGCGAUGAUACAUAGCCGACCUGAGAGGGUGAUCGGCCACACUGGGACUGAGACACGGCCCAGACUCCUACGGGAGGCAGCAGUAGGGAAUCUUCGGCAAUGGGGGCAACCCUGACCGAGCAACGCCGCGUGAGUGAAGAAGGUUUU